Molecule: ribosomal RNA, 493 nt
Filed under: uncultured bacterium
Lineage: Bacteria
Description: partial 16S ribosomal RNA
Rfam family: Bacterial small subunit ribosomal RNA
Source: RNAcentral
AUUGAACGCUGGCGGCAUGCUUUACACAUGCAAGUCGAACGGUAACAGGUUAAGCUGACGAGUGGCGAACGGGUGAGUAAUGCAUCGGAACGUGCCCGAUCGUGGGGGAUAACACUUCGAAAGAAGUGCUAAUACCGCAUACGAUCUGAGGAUGAAAGCGGGGGACCGUAAGGCCUCGCGCGAUCGGAGCGGCCGAUGUCAGAUUAGGUAGUUGGUGGUGUAAAGGCUCACCAAGCCGACGAUCUGUAGCUGGUCUGAGAGGACGACCAGCCACACGGGGACUGAGACACGCCCCAGACCCAUACGGGAGGCAGCGUGGGGAAAUUUUGGACAUUGGGCGCAAGCCUGACCCGGCAUUGCCGCGGGAAGAAAGAAGGCCUUGGGUUUGUAAACUGCUUUUGUACGGAGCGAAAGGGCUCCCUCUAAUACGGGGGGCUCAUGACGGUACCGUAAGAAUAAGCACCGGCUAACUACGUGCCAGCAGCCGCGUUAA